Plectropomus leopardus (leopard coralgrouper) is the source of this 605-nucleotide non-coding RNA. NCBI's taxonomy places the organism in Eukaryota, Metazoa, Chordata, Actinopteri, Perciformes, Serranidae. The record is from RefSeq and is a predicted model, not a curated record.
AACAAAAAAAUCAUGUAAGAUUGGAAAACCGAUGGGGUGAAACCUGCCUCACACUGCUCUUUUUAUGUUUUUUUUUUUGUUUUGUUUUUUAAAAGAAGGCUUUCGUUUCUCUUUCUCUCUUCAGCUGGAUUUUAAACCGGUCUGUACUCGUUUAAAUCGGUAAGUUUUCUUCACGACUUUGACCAAAGUUACAGUUUGCAUGUUCAUGGCGGAAGCGGCAAGUGGCAGCGCAGCUAUUAAUCGACGUGGUGGUGUUUAAUUUGUGUUCAUUAAACACCGAGCCUGUGUUUACAAACUGCACUUUUGUGGCGCACAAACCGUGUGGGCGAGCAAGUGGGAGAUUCAUUCAGCAAUCAGAGCUCUGUCGUAUCUGUGUUUUCCACCGAUGGAGGAGUGGAAAAUGAGCAUCGCCACUCUGAGUGAACAAGUCCUGAACAGGCUGUCAGCGAUGAUGGACAACUCCAGCUGCGGAUGGAGGCAGCUGGCCGGUGCGGUGUCCGAGCAGCCGAGGUUCCGCUGCAGCGAGAGCGAGCUGACCAGCUGCUCACUCCAGGUGCUGAGCGCUACAGGCAGCCCUGGACGCACCCUCCUCGCUCGGCUCGCUG